Long non-coding RNA from Larimichthys crocea (large yellow croaker), 1387 nucleotides. RefSeq lists it as uncharacterized. The transcript has 3 exons. Lineage: Eukaryota; Metazoa; Chordata; Actinopteri; Sciaenidae. The record is from RefSeq and is a predicted model, not a curated record.
GUUGGUUUCACAUUCAUUUCGGUUUGUAAUAAAAAAUCAGCUGGCUGAAAAGGUUAAAGCUGUAUGUCACAGCAGCGUGUGGUGACUGUUGCUGGCUGGGCUGGCUAUUUGUGACAGUGGUCUCCCCCAACGUGCAAACAUUUGUGGCUGAGAGGUGUUGCAAACUGCAAGUCAAAAUAACCACCGGCUCCCACUUGAAACAACAGCUUUGAAACAACAGCUUUGCAAAGCUGCUGUUAAUUUUCUUGCUGCUUGUUGCAAAUAGACUUGUGUGAAUUGUGUCAUAGGUUUCCUAUCCAGAAACAAACCCUCUGUUAAACUGUUUCAACAAAAACUGAACAUUAUAAUCUUCAUUAGGGGGAGUAUUUAUUGCAGGAUUGUUGUAUUAGACUGUGUUACUCUAAAGAGUGUAGAAUAUUAUAUAAUGGUUUUUAAGGUCAUACUUGAGCAUUCAGCUAUGGCAGUUGUGUGGUAGCAUUAAUGGGGUUUGCAGAAUGUGUCUUUGUUUCAGUACAACAGCCUUCAGUAUGGGAACACACAUGCACACACUUCCUAAAAAUCUAAUUUCCUGCAAGAUUCUUGUAGAUUUGGUGAGAUUUUCCAGUAAAUACUGCGACCUCAAUUUCACUCAGCCGUACUAUAUACAAGGGCAACAGAUUAUAUUCUGCUGUAGGUGUUUUAACCUUUUCACCUGCCUGAACCUAUUGCCAGAUAUCUGCCCUAUUAAAUCUACAGUUCACCUGCAUCCCUCCUGCCUCACCCCUUUUGGAUUUGUACUGACCAUAAAACAAGUUUUUACUCUGUUAUCUGAACUCUGACACUGUAGGUGAAAACAGAUAAACAGUACCCCUGCUUAUCAUGUGCCACACUAACAUCGCCAGCAAUUAAAUAUCCUCCUGACUAAAUCUUAUAGUACAGCCUUAUUCCUUUUUCCUUAUGGACCAUGGUAGAUAUGACACAUUUAUCUCACAUCGAACUCUUUGUUUGUCUAGAAAACAGAGCAGUGGGCUCAAUCGAUCUGCUGGGUAUGAUGGAAAUAAUAUGGUAGUCUGGAUAUCUACUGCUCAGGGCAUGCUGUGGGUAAAGCUUUUUCUUCAUUUGGCUGCAAGGCAGAAUGGCUCAUACUGUGAUCAUUCAUCAAAACAGACAUACCCAGAGGAGGUCAUUUGCUGGAAAAUAAACCUAAAAACAUGGUCGAAGUUAAAUGUUAAGAUUUGUCUCAUAAAUAAUUUGUCUGGAGAAAAGAGUUUGAGCAUGAUGUCUAACCAGAUGAAAAACAGCAACUACCUGAUGUUAACCUUUGUCACGUUCACUUCAUCGUCUCAGUGCAGCUUUUAAUCUAUUCAGUCAGAGUGUGUUUUGAAUUAGAUUGUACCAAUAUGCUGUU